GGAGGGAAAGCGGAGCACCAGAAAACCAUCUCUCCCACGACAAUCUCACAGAAGUCUGCUGUUGGAUACUUAAAACUGAACUCCUGCUUCAUGCCCCUUCCAGAAAAGAAGAAAACUUUGUUCUGUGCUGAAGUUUUUUUGACCUUUUUUUCUUUUAAAGUCAAAUUAUCAACAUUGAUGACUGCUUGAAGAGUGAGAAGAAGGAUGUUUCCCUAUACCCAGUUAAGAGUUUUGUUUGUUUUCUUUUCUGUAUCAGUGAUGGUGUAAGAACCAGUCUCUGUUUUUGAAGAAAAAGCAAUAUUCCUUGGAAAGCAAGGAGGAUUGAAGGAUUAUGUUUGCAGUGAGGAAAUAGAUUUUCACAAAGAGUUUGUUUUACACGUUUAAGGUUGACAUCUAUGUGGGCCUUAUAUACUCUUAAAAUGAACCUUAGUCACCUUGGUGCUUAUGGGCCAUUACUUGACCUAAGAAUCUUUAAGGCACAACCAGUUGUACUUUACAUGUAAAGAUUACUUGAGUGAUGGCCGCCUUUCCCUGUACCCGCUCCUUCCCCACACGCCUUCUGCGGUUCACUGAGAGCUAGGGCUGCAGAGCUGGGCCCUAGGUUGUGUGUAACCUACCUUCCCCUUCUCAUUGCCACCUUAGGUCAUGUUAGGGGUCUCGCCCUCCAGGCGAUUUGAAAGUGGAGUCUCUUGACAGCCCUCAUGCAGGUCCCCAGAGCCUGUACUACUUCUCGCCCGAGUGACUCCCAGAGAGCCGACUGCCUGCUGACGGGAACCAGUGCCAGAAAGGCAACUGUGAGCCAUCGCAGUUUUCACUCACUGUUUAGCUAAGCUCUUAGGCCGCAAAAGGGGCUUCUCAAACCUCCGGGUAUAUCAGAGUUCAUGAGAAAGGAAACAUCCAGUCAAACCAAAUCAAACAUAUUGAAUUUUACUUUUCAUAAUGAGCAUCUGAGAGCUGAUUAAGAUUGGAAAGACAUCUGAAUGAAAGUAUUUGGCAACAUGAUACUAAAGGAAUGGCUUUGAUAGGCCAUUUUCAGAAAAGAUUUAUAAUAAAGAGGCCGAACAGCAGGUCUGUGACAGAAAUGGACCUGCUUUCAGACCACUGCCCAGCCAACAUCUGGACAGACACUACUCUGGAUUUGGUAUAUCUGCUAGAGUCCAUAAAAAUCUGUGCUUAUUUUACAAAAUACCUUCCCCCCGAUAAAUGGGUGAGAAAAGAGAAGUGUCUGAUGCUUUCCUCUCAUGUUGUGUGUGCGUGUGUGAGGGCUGAGUUGCGUGAUUUUUUUCUUUCUCAAGGAUCAUGGCGGGAUCACAGAGCUCUUUUAUACAAGUGAGAUCCAGGUCUCUGCGUAUCUUUUUGUAAAUAAUAAAAUAAUAAUAAUAAAAGCUCCUCACCAAAUUCAAGCUUGUACAUUAUAUUUUCUUUCAAUGUUUUUAAAUUUAAGUUUUAUUGUUUUGUAUGUAAAUAUGUGGACCCAGGAACUGUUAUUAAUGAGCAAAAAGUUACUGUUCAGGGCAGUGAUUCUGUUUAAUAAUCAGACAAAAUGUAGACGAGCUUUUUAAAGCCAUAUAGUUUUAACUCUGUACAGUAGGUACCGGCCUGUAUUAUUGUAACAAUAACUCUAGCAAUGUAUAGUGUAUCUAUAUAGUUUGGAGUGCCUUCGCUUCCAUGUGUUUGUUUUUUUGUUGUUUUUCAUUUUUUAAAUUUUAAUUGGUUUCUCUCUCUAUCCAUGUCUCCCUGUCCCCACCCUUUUCCCUAUGAAAUAAUAAUUCACUCAUAACACAGUGUCUGUGCCCCUUCACGGUGAAUUUCAGUGAUACCAUGCUCAGGAGUGGAAAGAGGAAACCAUGUUCAUAAUCUCCUGUCAUGUAAGCUCUGCCUUUGUUUUGGUUCUGAACAUACGUCUUCCUCAGUAGCAGUGACCGGUUUCAUUUCAUCCUUAGGCCAUCCAGGGACUCAGCAUAGUGCCAGGGAGCCCUAGAGCUGGAGGGUAUCAAUUAGAUUUUGCUCGUCUCUUCCCCAAACCCUAACCAUGGGUCUUACAGUCCGCAGAUUCCAUGCUCACUCUCCUCAUUUCCUUCCCUCACAAAUGAGAGGGGAGAAUUGGUUUUUGUAAAUCAGAAUUCCGUCACAGCGUCAGGUUUUGCUAAUCAGUGGUCUGAAAUGCCACAGUGCGCGUGAGGACUGUGGCUUAACAAGGGGACUCCACCUGUCCGUCCUCUCGCCACCUCCACCACCCCUUUCAGCAAAAUCUCAUUUAAUUUCUUUUUUCAAAAAUCAGUUCAAUUCUUACUGUGUGCCCAUCAUGAAGGCCUUUUUUGAAAGAAAAAAAAAAUCAAAAUUACUUGUUUUGCCUCCAAGUACUCCAUAUGAGAUGUCUUGAGUAGAAGAAAAAAACAAACUUUACCAAACCAAAGGUUCCUAUUUUUGAAACAUCAUGUGUUUGUUCCAGCAAGGCGGAAAACUGCACCUUCUUUCCAGUGACAUGUCGUUUUUUAAAGUCCUCUUAAUUUUUAGAUACAUAUUUUUGGUGUGUGUUUUAAUAAAGCUCCUAACCAGUCAUACGGUCUGCACCAAUGCGAAGGUUUCUGAGAGGACUGUUGUAUUCUCUAUCCCUGUGGAUAUAAAGACACUGGCUUUUUAUUUCUUUUUCCCUUUCCUUUUAAGGGAUUUAACUUUGGAAUCUUCCAAAGGAAGUUUGGCCAAUGCCAGAUCCCCAGGAGUUUGGGGUCUUUUCUUUUUUAAAAAAUGAAAAUUGUAACUGAUCCCUGUUGUUCUUAGUGAUCAUCUAAUCACAGAGCCAAACACUUUCUCCCGUCUAUAGAAAAAUAAACUAAGCAUGCUUUACAAUAAAACCUGUCUUUUCUGAUAGAAACCUGAGCCACUGAAGAUAAGAGAGACAACUAGAAGCAGAGUAGAGUCCCAGACAAAGGUCUGCGUUUGAGAGGCUUCGAAAGUAAUCCCUGAGGUUUGGGUUAUUUUCACAAGGGUUAUGACGUUUUAUUCAAGUUUGUUGCUCCGUUUUGCACCUCUGCAAUAAAAGCAAAAUGACAACCAGUACAUAAGGGGUUAGCUUGACAAAGUAGACUUCCUUGUGUUAAUUUUUAAGUUUUUUUUUUUCAUACUAUAUCUGCUACAGGCAGAUUCAGAUAGAUGUAUGAAAUGUGCUUGCCUGUAAAAUUGCAUUUAUAAAUGUGUUGCCGAUGGAUCACUUGGGCCUGUACACAUACCAAUUAGCGUGACCACUUCCAUCUUAAAAACAAAUCUAAAAAACAAAAUUUAUUAUAUACAUAUAUAUAUAUAUAAAGGACUGUGGGUUGUAUACAAACUAUUGCAAACACUUGUGCAAAUCUGUCUUGAUAUAAAGGAAAAGCAAAAUCUGUAUAACAUUAUUACUACUUGAAUGCCUCUGUGACUGAUUUUUUUCAUUUUAAAUAUAAACUUUUUUGUGAAAAGUAUGCUUAAUGUUUUGUUUUUUUUCCCCUUUCCCCAUUCCCUUGUAAAUACAUUUCGUUCUAUGUGACUUGGUUUGGAAAUAGUUAACUGGUACUGUAAUUUGCAUUAAAUAAAAAGUAGGUAGCCUGGAAAUGAAAUUAAAA
Eptesicus fuscus (big brown bat) is the source of this 3599-nucleotide long non-coding RNA. RefSeq lists it as uncharacterized. The record is from RefSeq and is a predicted model, not a curated record. The transcript has 2 exons. Lineage: Eukaryota; Metazoa; Chordata; Mammalia; Chiroptera; Vespertilionidae.